AGAGUUUGAUCAUGGCUCAGGACGAACGCUGGCGGCGUGCCUAAUACAUGCAAGUCGUGCGAGGAACUUCGGUUCCUAGCGGCGGACGGGUGAGUAACACGUAGGCAACCUGCCUGUAAGAUCGGGAUAACAUAGGGAAACUUAUGCUAAUACCGAAUAGAGUUUUGCUUCGCAUGAAGCGAAACGGAAAGGUGGCGCAA
Molecule: ribosomal RNA, 200 nt
Filed under: uncultured bacterium
Lineage: Bacteria
Description: partial 16S ribosomal RNA
Rfam family: Bacterial small subunit ribosomal RNA
Source: RNAcentral